This 442-nucleotide long non-coding RNA is filed under the name Zonotrichia albicollis (white-throated sparrow). Its description in RNAcentral is "lncRNA (ENSZALG00000006313.1)". The record is from RNAcentral. Lineage: Eukaryota; Metazoa; Chordata; Aves; Passeriformes; Passerellidae.
UUGUAAAAGGUCCGACUUGACAAUGAAAAUAUACCAAAGACUGUGUCAAGAAAGAGUACUUUGGAAAGGAAGGUACUGAAAGUGUUUGCUAGGCAGGGGCAUUUACUGCUCCUGCAAGCCAUUCUGCCAUUCUGCAAAGAAGGAUUUUAAGAGUUUUGAGAUUAUGAUCUGAAGAGGAGCAGAUCUGCCAUGAGUUUGUGUACAGUUGUCCAAAAUACCUGAGACUCCCCAGUCCCAGUUUAUGAGAGAAGUUCAAGUGAAAAAUAUCCAUGAAUACCUGACAAAUUUCUGGCUCCGAGAGGUGAAGCCCACGGAGAGGGUGUCUUACACUACUGAAAAUGUACAAAAUUAUCAAGUACAGCAUAGGAAUGAGAGGUUGCUGUUGUCUGGAGAGCAGCGCUGUUCACCUCGGAAGGGUCUGGUCUCGGGAUGCAGGAGAUGA